Molecule: ribosomal RNA, 467 nt
Filed under: uncultured bacterium
Lineage: Bacteria
Description: partial 16S ribosomal RNA
Rfam family: Bacterial small subunit ribosomal RNA
Source: RNAcentral
GACGAACGCUGGCGGCGUGCUUAACACAUGCAAGUCGAACGGAAAGGCCCUGCUUUUGUGGGUGCUCGAGUGGCGAACGGGUGAGUAACACGUGAGUAACCUGCCCUUGACUUUGGGAUAACUUCAGGAAACUGGGGCUAAUACCCGAUAGGAGCUCCCGCUGCAUGGUGGGGGUUGGAAAGUUUCGGCGGUUGGGGAUGGACUCGCGGCUUAUCAGCUUGUUGGUGGGGUAGUGGCUUACCAAGGCUUUGACGGGUAGCCGGCCUGAGAGGGUGACCGGCCACAUUGGGACUGAGAUACGGCCCAGACUCCUACGGGAGGCAGCAGUGGGGAAUAUUGCACAAUGGGCGGAAGCCUGAUGCAGCAACGCCGCGUGCGGGAUGACGGCCUUCGGGUUGUAAACCGCUUUCGCCUGUGACGAAGCGUGAGUGACGGUAAUGGGUAAAGAAGCACCGGCUAACUACGUG